Long non-coding RNA from Chelonus insularis, 653 nucleotides. RefSeq lists it as uncharacterized. The transcript has 2 exons. The record is from RefSeq and is a predicted model, not a curated record. Lineage: Eukaryota; Metazoa; Arthropoda; Insecta; Hymenoptera; Braconidae.
CAGUGAAGGCUAUCUCGCGCUUGCUCAACUUCAUACUGUAUAUGUAUACAAAUGUGGGAUGAAAGGGGAUGAAAUGAUGGUGCGCUGGCGCAAGAAGCUGCUGCCCGGGAAGAGGCUACCCAGGCGAACCCUCAGUCUCCGGAAUGCUGAGGGCGGUGGAUCGUGAUUCCACCUCUUUCAGUUUAUCCUAAUAAAAACCACGGUUCCUCGAUCAAAUUAUCGAUUGUCAAUCAAUUAGAAAUUCGAUUGGAAUAACGUUACUCUUUAGUGAUUAAUCCAGUGGAAAUUAUCUUUCAAUCCCUGUUCUUUGUUUGUAAUAAGUUUCAACUUACCUUCAUUUAUUGGAUCAAUUUUUUUUUCUCAUUCAAUCAUUCAUUAUUAUUAAUUGAAACAUAGUCUAAUUGAUUGAUAAGAGUGUUUUAAAAUUCAAGUGAAAUUUCUGCUAAUUAAAAUAUUGGGUAGAGAAUCUGUGGCGCGAAAUGGCCUCUCAGAAUAUCUAACAACACUUCCCUUGGUUUCAUAUACAAAGGAACAAAAAGCUUUCAUUAUUUUCUUUUAUCUUCUGGUAACAUUUAACAGAGAGACUAAAAUUGGGCUGGGUCUACAUUGAAUUCGUUCACCAAAAUGGCGUUCAAUUGCGCUGACGUCCAUUA